ACGGUACCUACAGAAGAAGCACCGGCCAACUACGUGCCAGCAGCCGCGGUAAUACGUAGGGUGCGAGCGUUGUCCGGAAUUAUUGGGCGUAAAGGGCUCGUAGGCGGUUUGUCGCGUCAUGAGUGAAAUCCGGGUGCUUAACGCCUGGCUUGCUUGUGAUACGGGCAGACUGGAGGUAUGUAGGGGAGAACGGAAUUCCUGGUGUAGCGGUGAAAUGCGCAGAUAUCAGGAGGAACACCGGUGGCGAAGGCGGUUCUCUGGGCAUUACCUGACGCUGAGGAGCGAAAGUGUGGGGAGCGAACAGGAUUAGAUACCCUGGUAGUCCACACUGUAAACGUUGGGCGCUAGGUGUGGGACCCUUUCCACGGGUUCUGUGCCGUAGCUAACGCAUUAAGCGCCCCGCCUGGGGAGUACGGCCGCAAGGCUAAAACUCAAAGGAAUUGACGGGGGCCCGCACAAGCGGCGGAGCAUGCGGAUUAAUUCGAUGCAACGCGAAGAACCUUACCUGGGUUUUGACAUACAGAGUUAACUUCUAGAGAUAGAAGGUCCGUAAGGGU
Molecule: ribosomal RNA, 557 nt
Filed under: uncultured bacterium
Lineage: Bacteria
Description: bacterial SSU rRNA
Rfam family: Bacterial small subunit ribosomal RNA
Source: RNAcentral